Molecule: long non-coding RNA, 425 nt
Filed under: Vombatus ursinus (common wombat)
Lineage: Eukaryota; Metazoa; Chordata; Mammalia; Diprotodontia; Vombatidae
Description: lncRNA (ENSVURG00010008815.1)
Source: RNAcentral
GGGAAGGGUCAGGAUAAUCCAACGUCUCUGCCUCCUUCCUUCUUCUAUCCUGCCAAUCCCUACACCAGGGAACACUUAACCCAUACCUGCAGGCAUCCCAGGUUCUAAGAGAGACUCCUAAGCAGGAGAUAUACAGGUAUUUUGUACCGCUGUGCAGUGGGGAAAAAACCAAGGACUUGAUUCCAGAAGACCUGGGUUUGAAUCUGGACUCUUACUGGAAAGUCAGAAGAUUUAGACCUGAAAGGAAAACUAGAGAAGCCUUCUUUUCCCCUCUCCUGAUGACGCAGUGGAUUUUCAGCUUGACAUCCCUUCAGUUGGCUUUUCCCCACUUCCUGUCUUCUGUCUUCAACUUUAAAAUUAGUCCUGGGCUAACCAACAGAGAGAGGCCUGGACGGCACCUCUUGGCUCUGGCCCUCGCUCUGUGA